UCCGAUGUGGUAUAACGGUUAGCAUCGCUCGCUCUCAAAUCCUUCCAAUAAGACAACGAUCCGAGCAGAGCGGGGUUCGAUUCCCCGCAUCGGAG
This 95-nucleotide transfer RNA is filed under the name Morchella conica CCBAS932. RNAcentral's name for it is "tRNA-Glu". It matches the Rfam family "tRNA". Rfam says of the family: Transfer RNA (tRNA) molecules are approximately 80 nucleotides in length. Their secondary structure includes four short double-helical elements and three loops (D, anti-codon, and T loops). The record is from RNAcentral. Lineage: Eukaryota; Fungi; Ascomycota; Pezizomycetes; Pezizales; Morchellaceae.